UACGAAGGGGGCUAGCGUUGCUCGGAAUCACUGGGCGUAAAGGGUGCGUAGGCGGGUCUUUAAGUCAGGGGUGAAAUCCUGGAGCUCAACUCCAGAACUGCCUUUGAUACUGAGAGUCUUGAGUUCGGGAGAGGUGAGUGGAACUGCGAGUGUAGAGGUGAAAUUCGUAGAUAUUCGCAAGAACACCAGUGGCGAAGGCGGCUCACUGGCCCGAUACUGACGCUGAAGCACGAAAGCGUGGGGAGCAAACAGG
Molecule: ribosomal RNA, 253 nt
Filed under: uncultured bacterium
Lineage: Bacteria
Description: partial 16S ribosomal RNA
Rfam family: Bacterial small subunit ribosomal RNA
Source: RNAcentral